This 1463-nucleotide long non-coding RNA is filed under the name Heterocephalus glaber (naked mole-rat). RNAcentral describes it as "lncRNA (ENSHGLG00000042023.1)". Lineage: Eukaryota; Metazoa; Chordata; Mammalia; Rodentia; Bathyergidae. The record is from RNAcentral.
CCUGGCACUGACUCCAGGACAAGGUUUGCUUUGGGCGCCUCCUGGCCCAGUCUAAAACAGCACCUACCUCCACGCCUCCAUUAGCCCUGGAAUGAUGCCCUUUGUGAGGGGGUGGCCCAGGGGAAUGAUGCCCUUUGUGAGGCAGCAGCAGAUUCCAAGGCUCUGUGGAGAGGGCCGGGCGGAACCUGAGCAGGGCCUGUGGAGAAGAUGGUGUCUGCCACGUUGGGAGCCCUGAACCCCAGGGCCUGGCUCAGCCUCCUCCUCUUGUACCUCAUCCUGGCAGUGAGAGUCCUGCAGCCCCAGCCCCUGAGGCCUGUUCUUGAGGGAACUUCCAGCCUUCCUGGAGCUGUCACAGCCACCCUCUGACCUGAUGGACGAUUGCGGGAUCCGACCCAGGCACACGGAGACCCAGGCAACUCCAGGCCCAGCAGGCGCAAGCAGAAUGGGCCGGACACAGCUGAGUAUUACUAUGGUGCCCACCAGUGACUGACGAGAACCGUCAUAAAACUGUGGUCAGCAGAGGGCUCAGGCUUUCCUGGGGAACCGAGGUAGCACGGAGGGGGCCGCAUAGACACAGGCACUGUGCUCCAGACAGGAGAUGGCACUUUAAUAGUCGUGGCCAGGGUGACAGGACCAUGGUCAGAGGCUGCCUCUCCCUGCCAGGGCCAGCGUGCCAGGCCUGCGGGUGGGAGCCAUGGCAAGAGCAGAGAACAGCAACUUCACCUUUGCCCACUGCCAUUUCCUUCCUGGAAAGUCCUUGGGAGGUGGCCAGGCUCGGCCUGAGCUCAGAGCUCUUGGUAGGGGCUGGGCCGGGGGACAGUGGGCACUUGCAGGUGGCAUGGGCUUUGUCGAGGCAGGAGCCAGGGCUCCGGCAGGGGAAGUAAGGCCGCGACAGGGCUGGGCCCGUGUCCCCAGGAUGGACAUCCUUUGAGGCCUUCCGUCCCGGGCAGCCCGCUGUCCUCCAUAGGUGGAUCUGAUCCAUAUGUUACACUUUUGUUACCAUAUCCCAUGCCUGUGUCUCCCGCCACCCCUGUCCCCCACCCUGCACCAGCGGGACCCCACUUCCAUCCUCCAGUGGUGGUAGUAUCCCUCACGAGCAGUGCUGUGACCUGUCCACAGCUUGCUGUCCUGCAUGGGCUGGGGGCCGGGGGGGGGUGCAGAGGUGGCUGCUACUCCAGGUAGAUGUCCUCCGUGGGGCAGGUGUACUCCACAAACUGCUUGUAGAACUGCUGGAAUGCGCGCCUGCAAGGCAGGGUGCCAGUAAGCAGGUCCCCAGGGCCCUGGGAAUGCUGGACCCUGUCUCCUAGGGAUUGCAUCCCCCCUGAGGGAGGUAGCAGGUAAAGGACAGACCAGCAGCCAACAAGCUUGGAUAUCCCUCCUCUAGUCACCCCACUUCGCUGGCCACCACACUGGGUCUGGAGCCCCAUGAGUUUCCAGGGGGUGCGGGGAGGCUGGGGGGUGGC